Odocoileus virginianus texanus is the source of this 788-nucleotide non-coding RNA. NCBI's taxonomy places the organism in Eukaryota, Metazoa, Chordata, Mammalia, Artiodactyla, Cervidae. The record is from RefSeq and is a predicted model, not a curated record.
CGGACCGCGCAGCCAGCCCUUACCUUGCAGCGGCCGGCUGUCCCCCGCUCGCUAAAGCUACUUAUCCCGGGAAAGCUCGCGCGGGGCCCGGGAGCGAACCCACAGACAAAAAGUGAAACUUCGGCAAGGCUGGAGCGGCUGCUGGUUGGUGCCUUUCCCCCUCCUUCCUCCCGCCGUCCCCACCCCCUCCCCUCGGUCUCCCGUGCGGUGCCCUGAGAGCUGGAGGCUGACGUCAGGGGCCUGAAUUCCUGACUUUGCCUGCACGCAUUUGUCCAUGUAAGCAAGGUUCAAACGUCCUGGAUGUCGGAACUGGCCCCGACCAACUUCCAGCCCGUCCACUUCACACGGGAAAUCUGAAGCUCUCGGAAGAGAAACGACUCGUACAAGGUCAUGCCCGCCACAGAUCCCGGCGCGGGAGCCGGAUGCUCAGUCUCCCAGCUAUGUUCCUGUCUGCAGGCAGGGGCCCGACUCCCUCCUUCCUGCGGACCAGUCAGCGGGGCUGGACGUCUGACGGCAACGCGGACCACCCUGGGAAGAGAUUCGGCGCUUCCCCGGGGCCCCUACGCGGUCCGUUCCUGGAAGGUUCUGAUUGCCAGUGAACCCUGCAUAGCCAUGCUGAUCAGUUACUUCAAGGCAACUCCCUCCAUCCAGUGCUCAAAUAAACGAACCCCUGGAAUUUACUUCACAGCCCUAUCCAGAACCCCAGACCUUGUGCUUAUAGCUUCAAAAAAUAAAUAAAUCUACGAACUGGGUGAAUUAGUUGAAUAAAGGCAAGACUGUUCUUGGAA